Molecule: ribosomal RNA, 249 nt
Filed under: Escherichia coli
Lineage: Bacteria; Pseudomonadati; Pseudomonadota; Gammaproteobacteria; Enterobacterales; Enterobacteriaceae
Description: partial 16S ribosomal RNA
Rfam family: Bacterial small subunit ribosomal RNA
Source: RNAcentral
AAAUUGAAGAGUUUGAUCAUGGCUCAGAUUGAACGCUGGCGGCAGGCCUAACACAUGCAAGUCGAACGGUAACAGGAAGAAGCUUGCUUCUUUGCUGACGAGUGGCGGACGGGUGAGUAAUGUCUGGGAAACUGCCUGAUGGAGGGGGAUAACUACUGGAAACGGUAGCUAAUACCGCAUAACGUCGCAAGACCAAAGAGGGGGACCUUUGGGCCUCUUGCCAUCGGAUGUGCCCAGAUGGGAUUAGCU